GACGAACGCUGGCGGCGUGCCUAAUACAUGCAAGUUGAGCGAUGAAGAUUGGUGCUUGCACCAAUUUGAAGAGCAGCGAACGGGUGAGUAACGCGUGGGGAAUCUGCCUUUGAGCGGGGGACAACAUUUGGAAACGAAUGCUAAUACCGCAUAAUAACUUUAAACAUAAGUUUUAAGUUUGAAAGAUGCAAUUGCAUCACUCAAAGAUGAUUCCGCGUUGUAUUAGCUAGUUGGUGAGGUAAAGGCUCACCAAGGCGAUGAUACAUAGCCGACCUGAGUGGGUGAUCGGCCACAUUGGGACUGGGACACGGCCCAAACUCCUACGGGAGGCAGCAGUAGGGAAUCUUCGGCAAAGGACGAAAGUCUGACCGAGCAACGCCGCGUGAGUGAAGAAGGGUCUCGGAUCGUAAAACUCUGUUGGUAGAGAAGAACGUUGGUGAGAGUGGAAAGCUCAUCAAGUGACGGUAACUACCCAGAAAGGGACGGCUAACUACGUG
RNAcentral lists this ribosomal RNA (497 nucleotides) under uncultured bacterium. Its description in RNAcentral is "partial 16S ribosomal RNA". It matches the Rfam family "Bacterial small subunit ribosomal RNA", at positions 28 to 507 of the family's 1533-position model. The record is from RNAcentral.